RNAcentral lists this ribosomal RNA (305 nucleotides) under uncultured bacterium. RNAcentral's name for it is "bacterial SSU rRNA". It matches the Rfam family "Bacterial small subunit ribosomal RNA", at positions 338 to 660 of the family's 1533-position model. The record is from RNAcentral.
CCUACGGGGCGCAGCAGUGGGGGAUAUUGGACAAUGGGGGGAACCCUGAUCCAGCGACGCCGCGUGAGUGAAGAAGUAUUUCGGUAUGUAAAGCUCUAUCAGCAGGGAAGAUAAUGACGGUACCUGACUAAGAAGCCACGGCUAACUACGUGCCAGCAGCCGCGGUAAUACGUAGGGGGCGAGCGUUGUCCGGAAUUACUGGGUGUAAAGGGAGUGUAGGCGGGAAAGCAAGUCAGAAGUGAAAACUAUGGGCUUAACCCAUAGCCUGCUUUUGAAACUGGUUUUCUUGAGUGAAGUAGGGGCAA